AGGAUGAACGCUGGCGGCGUGCCUAAUACAUGCAAGUCGAGCGGUAAGGCCUCUUCGGAGGUACACGAGCGGCGGACGGCUGAGUAACACGUAGGAACGUACCCCAAAGUGAGGCAUAAGCACCAGAAAUGGUGUCUAAUACCGCAUGUGCUCUAAGGAGUAAAGCUUCGGCGCUUUGGGAACGGCCCGCGCAUGAUUAGCUUGUUGGUGAGGUAAUAGCUCACCAAGGCGACGAUCAUUAGCUGGUCUGAGAGGAUGACCAGCCAGACUGGGACUGAGAACGGCCCAGACUCCUACGGAGGCAGCAGUAGGGAAUUUUCCACAAUGGGCGAAAGCCUGAUGGAGCAACGCCGCGUGCAGGAUGAAGGCCUUCGGGUUGUAAACUGCUUUUAUAUGUGACGAAUAUGACGGUAGCAUAUGAAUAAGGAUCGGCUAACUCCGUGCCAGCAGCCGC
RNAcentral lists this ribosomal RNA (454 nucleotides) under uncultured bacterium. RNAcentral's name for it is "SSU rRNA". It matches the Rfam family "Bacterial small subunit ribosomal RNA", at positions 26 to 518 of the family's 1533-position model. The record is from RNAcentral.